RNAcentral lists this ribosomal RNA (499 nucleotides) under uncultured bacterium. Its description in RNAcentral is "bacterial SSU rRNA". It matches the Rfam family "Bacterial small subunit ribosomal RNA", at positions 899 to 1397 of the family's 1533-position model. The record is from RNAcentral.
ACUCAAAUGAAUAGACGGGGGCCCGCACAAGCGGUGGAGCAUGUGGUUUAAUUCGAUGCAACGCGAAGAACCUUACCAGGUCUUGACAUCCAGGGAAGCCUUAGGAAACUAGGGUGUGCCUUCGGGAACCCUGAGACAGGUGGUGCAUGGUUGUCGUCAGCUCGUGUCGUGAGAUGUUGGGUUAAGUCCCGCAACGAGCGCAACCCUUGCUAUUAGUUGCUAACAGGUUAAGCUGAGCACUCUAAUGGGACUGCCUGUGACAAGCAGGAGGAAGGUGGGGAUGACGUCAAAUCAUCAUGCCCUUUAUGAUCUGGGCUACACACGUGCUACAAUGGAUGGUACAGAGAGCAGCGAGACUGUGAAGUGGAGCGAAUCUCAAAAAGCCAUUCUCAGUUCGGAUUGUAGUCUGCAACUCGACUACAUGAAGUCGGAAUCGCUAGUAAUCGCGAAUCAGCAUGUCGCGGUGAAUGCGUUCCCGGGCCUUGCACACACCGCCCGU